AACGAACGCUGGCGGCAUGCCUAACACAUGCAAGUCGAACGAGACCUUCGGGUCUAGUGGCGCACGGGUGCGUAACGCGUGGGAACCUGCCCUUAGGUUCGGAAUCACUCCCCGAAAGGGGUGCUCAUACCGGAUAAUGUCUUCGGACCAAAGAUUUAUCGCCUUUGGAUGGGCCCGCGUUGGAUUAGCUAGUUGGUAGGGUAAAAGCCUAGCAAGGCGACGAUCCAUAGCUGGUCUGAGAGGAUGAUCAGCCACACUGGGACUGAGACACGGCCCAGACUCCUACGGGAGGCAGCAGUGGGGAAUAUUGGACAAUGGGCGAAAGCCUGAUCCAGCAAUGCCGCGUGAGUGAUGAAGGCCUUAGGGUUGUAAAGCUCUUUUACCCGGGAUGAUAAUGACAGUACCGGGAGAAUAAGCUCCGGCUAACUCCGUG
This 433-nucleotide ribosomal RNA is filed under the name uncultured bacterium. RNAcentral's name for it is "partial 16S ribosomal RNA". It matches the Rfam family "Bacterial small subunit ribosomal RNA", at positions 29 to 507 of the family's 1533-position model. The record is from RNAcentral.